AAUGGCUGUGUCUAUCAAGUGAAUAACAAAGUGUAGACUGCCCGUCCGUUUCCUAUACAAAACUUAGAUUUCAUGUGCCAUCAUUGUUGGUCUUUCUGCUGAUUUAAUAACUUCCGAGAAGAACUGAGGAUUCUGAUGCAGCCUCACUAUUUAAGAAACUACUUGGAGAGGGAAUUCUCAAGGGCUGGAAGAGAGUCUUCAGAUAGAGAAAGUCUCUAGUGCUGAAAGAUGACAGAGCUGAAUAAUGUCAUCAACAUUUUUAUUUUGUCUUGUGCUAUUACAGCUAUUUUUCUUGCUCUGUUUCAUCCAUGCCUUUCCAUGGAGCAAAGAAACAAGAUAUCAACAAUCAGGGGCAUGGCAACUAUGAUUCCAUCAUUCACAAGUUCAAUUUCCUUCAAAAGAACAAGUGAUACUGUUAACCAGGCCCUGCAAGCACAUAUAAAACAAACAGCAUGACUGGAAAAGAGAAAAUGAAAAAUGGUCUAAGAAACCUUAUCUUUCUCCCAUAACCAAGUAUACUAGUCCCACCCUUUGGAGCUCAGAUGAACAGAAUGAAGAUCAUGGCGUUCCUAACACUAGCCCUUUCUUUCUACAUAACCCAGAAUGAUGUAGCCCUCUAUUUAAAAGGCAGUAAAAAGGAUGCAAAUGUUCUCCCUUGAAGCCCAGAUGUUUUCUAUCUUUCUAAGCUCCAAUUAUUUCACCACAUUAUUUAGC
Bos taurus (domestic cattle) is the source of this 714-nucleotide long non-coding RNA. The record is from Ensembl. NCBI's taxonomy places the organism in Eukaryota, Metazoa, Chordata, Mammalia, Artiodactyla, Bovidae.